UCCCUGGUGGCUCAGAGGUUAAAGCGUCUGCCUGCAAUGCAGGAGGCCUGGGUUCGAUCCCUGGGUCGGGAA
This 72-nucleotide transfer RNA is filed under the name Muntiacus reevesi (Reeves' muntjac). It matches the Rfam family "tRNA". From Rfam's summary of the family: Transfer RNA (tRNA) molecules are approximately 80 nucleotides in length. RNAcentral also lists the same sequence under 4 other names. The record is from Rfam by way of RNAcentral. Lineage: Eukaryota; Metazoa; Chordata; Mammalia; Artiodactyla; Cervidae.